Lolium perenne is the source of this 1776-nucleotide non-coding RNA. NCBI's taxonomy places the organism in Eukaryota, Viridiplantae, Streptophyta, Magnoliopsida, Poales, Poaceae. The record is from RefSeq and is a predicted model, not a curated record.
CCGACUCCGAUUAAAUUGGAUAAGAUGCAUUGCACCAUCUAUGCCAUGUCAUGCAUAUCAUCAUGAACAUGCUGGAUCUUCUUUAUCCGUAGUUGUAAGACUUGCAUACGUUGUGUGUUCCAGCAUUUGCUUCUUCCCGGAUAGGAUCGCGAAGUGGUGUGGUGAGAUACGACAAGUUCUCCGGAUGUUCCUUGGCAAGCUUUAACAGGCAAGCAUUUUCCCCUAUACUCCUGUCCCUGCAGGAGUCGCUCACCUAUUUUAUUUUGCCUUCUCCCUCAUGCUAUCCUUAAGUUGCGUUCUUGUCACGUGUUCCUUCCACUUGUUACCUCAAGCAGCCUAUAUUGCCUCCACCAACCACCUACAGCUAUUGUUUGGUUAUCAGGUCUGCCUUGCGAGUCGUAGUGCAUGCUAGUGCUGUUUUAUCUCGUUACCGUUGCUGUUAUCUUAUCGGGAUAUGUUGGGUUGUUGGGAGGUUGUCACAUGCUAUAUCAGUUGUUGGAGAUACACAUGCUUUACUUAAUUGUUAACAACUAAAAUUGUAAGCAGAGGCAUCUGUGAGCCCCUUUGCGAAAGCAUCGGAACUUUGACUUGCUAAUGUCCCCUAGAACCCGAGUUCUUGUUAUCUGUUCCGAGACUGAGCGCUCUACCCAUGCGUGGGGAUUCACUGGGACCCCCCUCACCCAUUACCUUUUCUCGAGUUAGUUGAAAAGGGGGCCACAACCUUGGUUUUAUUUGGCGCAUGCAUGUUUAUAUACUGUUGCCUUCGGGUGUUUACUUCCUAUUGCCUUCGGGUGUUUAUAUUCUGUACUGUACCCCGCGGGACGUUUAGCGAUGCGUGUGGUUUGCACGCCUAGCCGCCGACGCAAACCCUGAGUCCGUCUCGGAGUACGGCCGGACUUCGUCACGGGUAGCUUAGUCGGGCGGCCCCCUAGACUUUCUUGUUGAACUGGGAACGGUCUUGUUGUGAGACAUCCACCUGUCAUAAGUGGGUCGAGCAUGCGUAUGGUUACAUUUGGGCAACCCCUGCAGGGUGUACAUCUUAUCGAUAAGCCGUGUCCACGGUUAUGGACGACUUGGAAUUGCAUAGCUUGAUCGUAGAACAACUUACACCGUUAUCUUGUUGCUAAUAAUCUGAUAAUAACUUGCGUAGUAAUAUAGCCUUACUACAACCGUUACCCAAUAAAACUUGUCCAUCGUUGAGUGCCUUUUACAUUGCCUCUUUGCAAUUGUUGGAGGGGAUAUGUGUAAUCGGCUGGGUUAUGUUUGUGUAGUAUUUUAUCUGUUACCUUAUGCGCUCUCUCACCUUCUCUGAUUAGACGAAUGUUGUAGAGUGUCUCUAUAGGUUUUUAGUGCUUGCGCUGCCGCUUAACCCCACCAUAUUGCCUAUGACGUUCCUCUUGCGUCCUCUAAGUCCCCUGCGUGCCUCAAGUACAAAGGACGACUGGUUGACGAAUGCUUAUACGUCUUGAAGUCUUGUUAAGUACGAACCCGUACUUAUUGCUGCUUCUACGGGAUAUAACCGGGCAGGUAUGAAGAUAUGUUUGAUGAAGACGACGUUAGCAAGGUUACCCUUCCGGCUUGGCCUGGGCAGGGUUAUGGACGCCACUGGUUAUCUUCAGGACUCUUAGUCCAAUUUGCAGCUUGUCCGUACUCGGAUGUAUUCGAUCUUCUGUAUGAUUUGGAUCUUUGUAUUGUAUAUUUGUAUCUUGACUCGUUGAAGUCGUUGUUGUAAUAUAUGUAUCUUGUGGGCUCUAUUGUAAUCCUGUUGUAAUGUUA